RNAcentral lists this microRNA precursor (71 nucleotides) under Paramuricea clavata. The record is from RNAcentral. Lineage: Eukaryota; Metazoa; Cnidaria; Anthozoa; Malacalcyonacea; Plexauridae.
CCAACUACUUUAGGGGGAUUACCUGUUAAGUAUAAAGAUACUUAACAGGUAAUCCCCCUAAAGUAGUUGGA